GGACUACCAGGGUUUCUAAUCCCGUUCGCUCCCCUGGCUUUCGCACAUGAGCGUCAGUUACGAGCCAGGACGCUGCCUUCGCCUUUGGUGUUCUUCCAGAUCUCUACGCAUUUCACCGCUCCACCUGGAAUUCCGCGUCCCUCUCUCGUCCUCAAGUCUUCCAGUUUUCCAAGGCCUGCAAGGGUUAAGCCCUCACCUGUCACUCAAAACUUAAAAGACCGCCUGCGUGCGCUUUACGCCCAAUAAAUCCGGACAACGCUUGCCCCCUACGUAUUACCGCGGCUGCUGGCAC
This 292-nucleotide ribosomal RNA is filed under the name uncultured bacterium. Its description in RNAcentral is "partial 16S ribosomal RNA". The record is from RNAcentral.